GUAGAAAAAUUGAAAUAGGCACCCCCCCUUUAGCACCGGUUCGUGAAAACCGGUGCCAAAAGAAAUGUGCGGGAUUGAAAAAUUCAGCGUUAGCACCGGUUCCCACCAAACCGGUGCCAAAUCAUAUAAUUAGCACCGGUUCAAACCGGUGCCAAUUUAAAAAAAAAAAAAAAGUAUGGAAUAUAGUUGGCACCGGUUCGCCUUAAGCCGAUGCCAACUAUGGUAUUUAGCACCGGUUUAAACCGGUGCCCAUUUUGAAAAAAAAAAACCGGGCGAAAUAAAAAAUAUAUUCAGGUAUUCAUUUCUCUGCUUCUUCUUCUUUCUUUCUUUCUUUCUUUCCCCCCUGCAUUUCAUUUUCGUUAACCCUAACUCUCGUUUAAUUUCGCCCUUCUCUUAGCUUCGACCACCUUUCUCCAUAUUUCUCCUCCGUUACGCGUGCUCGUAAGUCUCCAUUGAAGCGCAUUCUGAGCUUUGUCCAUAUCACUCCUCCACUACGCGUACUUUUAAUUCUCCAUUGAAGCGGAUUCGAGCUUUCUCACCUUCAUUGAAGCAGCUUCGAGCAUUGAAGAAUUUCUCAGACGAAAGAGCCAAAAAAAUGAAAGCCUUACAAGAAAAAACGAAGCUUGAUGACAAAGAAGCUAAACGAAUUUAGUCCUGUCUUUCUGCUAUAAUGGAAGUCCGCAUAGUCUACUUUGAUAUCAUGAGACCAGCAGUAGCAGUGCAUAACCAAGACAACAGUACCAGUGCAGGCAGCAGACACACAGCAGCCAGAAACCUUGGACACUUCAAAUUUUUUUUUAGACGAAAAUUGUAUUAUUUUAGCCUUUUUUAAUGAAAUAAUGUAACUUUAUA
Molecule: long non-coding RNA, 852 nt
Organism: Chenopodium quinoa (quinoa)
Lineage: Eukaryota; Viridiplantae; Streptophyta; Magnoliopsida; Caryophyllales; Amaranthaceae
Exons: 3
Source: RefSeq, a predicted model, not a curated record